This 296-nucleotide ribosomal RNA is filed under the name Kingella kingae. RNAcentral describes it as "partial 23S ribosomal RNA". It matches the Rfam family "Bacterial large subunit ribosomal RNA", at positions 1 to 301 of the family's 2925-position model. The record is from RNAcentral. Lineage: Bacteria; Pseudomonadati; Pseudomonadota; Betaproteobacteria; Neisseriales; Neisseriaceae.
AGUCAAGUGAAUAAGUGCAUCAGGUGGAUGCCUUGGCGAUGAUAGGCGAAGAAGGACGUGUAAGCCUGCGAAAAGCACGGAGAAGCUGGCAAAAAAGCAAUGAUACCGUGAUGUCCGAAUGGGGAAACCCACUGCACUCGUGCAGUAUCCUAGUCUGAAUACAUAGGGCUAGAGAAGCGAACCUGGAGAACUGAACCAUCUAAGUACCCAGAGGAAAAGAAAUCAACAGAGAUUCCGCAAGUAGUGGCGAGCGAACGCGGAAAAGCCUGUAUAUGAUCUGUCUCUUAUACACAUCU